RNAcentral lists this ribosomal RNA (479 nucleotides) under uncultured bacterium. RNAcentral describes it as "partial 16S ribosomal RNA". It matches the Rfam family "Bacterial small subunit ribosomal RNA", at positions 28 to 507 of the family's 1533-position model. The record is from RNAcentral.
GAUGAACGCUAGCGGGAGGCCUAACACAUGCAAGCCGAGCGGUGGAGUUCCUUCGGGAACUUGAGAGCGGCGUACGGGUGCGUAACACGUGUGCAACCUACCUUUAUCUGGGGGAUAGCCUUUCGAAAGGAAGAUUAAUACCCCAUAAUAUAAUGAUUGGCAUCAAUUAUUAUUGAAAACUCCGGUGGAUAGAGAUGGGCACGCGCAAGAUUAGAUAGUUGGUGAGGUAACGGCUCACCAAGUCAAUGAUCUUUAGGGGUCCUGAGAGGGAGAUCCCCCACACUGGUACUGAGACACGGACCAGACUCCUACGGGAGGCAGCAGUGAGGAAUAUUGGACAAUGGGUGAAAGCCUGAUCCAGCCAUCCCGCGUGAAGGAUGACGGUCCUAUGGAUUGUAAACUUCUUUUGUACAGGGAUAAACCUACUCUCGUGAGGGUAGCUGAAGGUACUGUACGAAUAAGCACCGGCUAACUCCGUG